RNAcentral lists this transfer RNA (64 nucleotides) under Diplometopon zarudnyi. RNAcentral describes it as "tRNA-Lys". Lineage: Eukaryota; Metazoa; Chordata; Lepidosauria; Squamata; Trogonophidae. The record is from RNAcentral.
CACUAAGAAGCUUACUCAAGCACCAGCCUUUUAAGCCGGAGAGGAGACUUGGUCUCCUUAGUGA